This 29-nucleotide ribosomal RNA is filed under the name Penicillium biourgeianum. RNAcentral describes it as "partial 18S ribosomal RNA". Lineage: Eukaryota; Fungi; Ascomycota; Eurotiomycetes; Eurotiales; Aspergillaceae. The record is from RNAcentral.
CAUAGGUGAACCUGCGGAAGGAUCAUUAC